RNAcentral lists this ribosomal RNA (800 nucleotides) under uncultured archaeon. Its description in RNAcentral is "bacterial SSU rRNA". It matches the Rfam family "Archaeal small subunit ribosomal RNA", at positions 32 to 833 of the family's 1478-position model. The record is from RNAcentral.
AAGUGGGGGUUCGACUAGCCAUGCGAGUCAAUGUUCUUCGUGAACAUGGCGUACUGCGUCAGUAACACGUGGAUAACCUGCCCUUAGGACUGGCAUAACCCCGGGAAACUGGGGAUAAUUCCGGAUAGUUCAUGGUAGCUGGAAUGCUCCAUGAUCGAAAGCUAUUGCGCCUAAGGAUGGGUCUGCGGUCUAUCAGGUAGUAGUGGGUGUAAUGUACCUACUAGCCGACGACGGAUACGGGUUGUGGGAGCAAGAGCCCGGAGAUGGAUUCUGAGACAUGAAUCCAGGCCCUACGGGGCGCAGCAGGCGCGAAAACUUUACAAUGCGGGAAACCGCGAUAAGGGGACACCGAGUGCCAGCAUCUUAUGUUGGCUGUCCGCAUGUAUAAAUCACAUGUGUUAGCAAGGGCCGGGCAAGACCGGUGCCAGCCGCCGCGGUAACACCGGCGGCCCGAGUGGUGGCCACUAUUAUUGGGUCUAAAGGGUCCGUAGCCGGUUUGGUCAGUCUUCCGGGAAAUCUGACGGCUUAACCGUUAGGCUUUCGGGGGAUACUACCAGGCUUGGGACCGGGAGAGGUAAGAGGUACUACGGGGGUAGGAGUGAAAUCUUGUAAUCCUCGUGGGACCACCAGUGGCGAAGGCGUCUUACCAGAACGGGUCCGACGGUGAGGGACGAAAGCUGGGGGCACGAACCGGAUUAGAUACCCGGGUAGUCCCAGCCGUAAACUAUGCUCGCUAGGUGUCAGGGACGGUGCGACCGUUUCUGGUGCCGCAGGGAAGCCGUGAAGCGAGCCACCUGGGA